This 433-nucleotide ribosomal RNA is filed under the name uncultured bacterium. RNAcentral describes it as "bacterial SSU rRNA". It matches the Rfam family "Bacterial small subunit ribosomal RNA", at positions 342 to 792 of the family's 1533-position model. The record is from RNAcentral.
UCGGAGGCAGCAGUGGGGAAUCUUGCACAAUGGGGGAAACCCUGAUGCAGCGACGCCGCGUGAGCGAUGAAGCCCUUCGGGGUGUAAAGCUCUUUCGUCAGGGAAGAUAAUGACGGUACCUGGAGAAGCAGCUGCGGCUAACUACGUGCCAGCAGCCGCGGUAAUACGUAGGCAGCGAGCGUUGUUCGGAGUUACUGGGCGUAAAGGGUGUGUAGGCGGUUGUUUAAGUUUGGUGUGAAAUCUCCCGGCUUAACUGGGAGGGUGCGCCGAAUACUGAAUGACUAGAGUGCGGGAGAGGAGAGUGGAAUUCCUGGUGUAGCGGUGAAAUGCGUAGAUAUCAGGAGGAACACCGGCGGUGUAGACGGCUCUCUGGACCGUAACUGACGCUGAGACACGAAAGCGUGGGUAGCAAACAGGAUUAGAUACCCUUGUA